AUGCCCGGCGACGACUCGCGCUGCCGGAAGCACCCGCCCGUGCCCUGCGGCGGCGUGUGCCCGCACUGCCUCUGCGACCGCCUCCUCCGCCUCUGCCCCGACUGCGCGCGCACGCGCCCCUGCGCCUGCGCCUCCCCCUCCUCCCCGUCCUCCUCGGCGUCCUCCGCCUCCGUCGGCCGGGUCUGCAGCCUCAUCGAGCGGGAGCGCCGGAUCGGGCGCUCGCGGUCCGUGGCCGGCGGCAUCGGCGCCGACGAGAGGCGCCGGUCCAGGGUCUGGGGCUGGGCCUCGUUCCGGAAGCCUGCGGUCGGCAAGGGAAUGGAGUUGGAGAGCGAGGAGGAGCGCCACGUCGCCGAGGACGCGGCGGCAUUGGAGCGGUCGAGCUCCGCCUCCGCGGAGAAGUUGGCGCCCAAAACGGGAGGGUGGGGGCGGUUCCUCCCCGGCCCGAUCAAGGCGCUGCGCCACCGCAAGUCGCGCGCUUCCGCCGGCGCCAGCGCCCGAGGCGAUCGCCGGGAGGGCGUGAGGUGA
Molecule: ribosomal RNA, 525 nt
Filed under: Triticum aestivum (bread wheat)
Lineage: Eukaryota; Viridiplantae; Streptophyta; Magnoliopsida; Poales; Poaceae
Description: partial small subunit ribosomal RNA
Source: RNAcentral